This 319-nucleotide ribosomal RNA is filed under the name Salmonella enterica. Its description in RNAcentral is "partial 23S ribosomal RNA". It matches the Rfam family "Bacterial large subunit ribosomal RNA", at positions 873 to 1190 of the family's 2925-position model. The record is from RNAcentral. RNAcentral also lists the same sequence under 8 other names. Lineage: Bacteria; Pseudomonadati; Pseudomonadota; Gammaproteobacteria; Enterobacterales; Enterobacteriaceae.
GGUAGCGCCUCGUGAAUUCAUCUCCGGGGGUAGAGCACUGUUUCGGCUAGGGGGCCAUCCCGGCUUACCAACCCGAUGCAAACUGCGAAUACCGGAGAAUGUUAUCACGGGAGACACACGGCGGGUGCUAACGUCCGUCGUGAAGAGGGAAACAACCCAGACCGCCAGCUAAGGUCCCAAAGUCAUGGUUAAGUGGGAAACGAUGUGGGAAGGCCCAGACAGCCAGGAUGUUGGCUUAGAAGCAGCCAUCAUUUAAAGAAAGCGUAAUAGCUCACUGGUCGAGUCGGCCUGCGCGGAAGAUGUAACGGGGCUAAACCAU